RNAcentral lists this long non-coding RNA (430 nucleotides) under Cyanistes caeruleus (blue tit). Its description in RNAcentral is "lncRNA (ENSCCEG00000007527.1)". The record is from RNAcentral. Lineage: Eukaryota; Metazoa; Chordata; Aves; Passeriformes; Paridae.
AACACACAAAGUUCUGUGCUCAUUCAGUGUCAACAUGCAAGUUCUAUGCCAACAUUUCCAAUGGAGGCACCAGGACUUGGCACCACCUUUUUAGAAACCAUUCUUAUAGCUGAUAAUUCAAUUAGUUGCUGUUGAAAUAAGGGUUUGUCUUCACUAUUCUGCUGGGACCCACUGGCUACAGGUAAAAUCUCGGUGUGAUUGAGCUGCAAGUGUGCUGUUUGCUUUGCCUUCACUCAUUAGUGAGCAGCAGGAGCAAAUGCAGUGGGAUCUGAGAUGCAUCACAAACCUGCACCCCGUAAGAGGAGAGAACUGUGAGUUUUCUGAGCCCAAACAAAGCUUUGACUUUUUUUGUUUAAUGUCAGGGGUUAUUUUCUAGCUGGCAAAAUUUAUAAGCUGUUCCCAAGAUCCGGGGAUGCAGAUUCAAUAAGGG